AAUAAUGUUGAGAAGGCAAAACAAAUAUAUAUCACACUUUCUCUAUUGAGCUAUAACUCAUAUCUAAAGUUUUACUUUACAUCAUAAUCAUCUUAUGCAUAAUUUAAGUAACGGAUUUUAGAACUUGGAUCAGAUGAGAAGUGUGUGUACUAAUAAU
This 157-nucleotide small RNA is filed under the name Arabidopsis thaliana (thale cress). RNAcentral's name for it is "ATSL023290". The record is from RNAcentral. Lineage: Eukaryota; Viridiplantae; Streptophyta; Magnoliopsida; Brassicales; Brassicaceae.